RNAcentral lists this ribosomal RNA (496 nucleotides) under Enterobacter cloacae. RNAcentral's name for it is "bacterial SSU rRNA". It matches the Rfam family "Bacterial small subunit ribosomal RNA", at positions 37 to 524 of the family's 1533-position model. Lineage: Bacteria; Pseudomonadati; Pseudomonadota; Gammaproteobacteria; Enterobacterales; Enterobacteriaceae. The record is from RNAcentral.
UGGCGGCAGGCCUAACACAUGCAAGUCGAACGGUAGCACAGAGAGCUUGCUCUCGGGUGACGAGUGGCGGACGGGUGAGUAAUGUCUGGGAAACUGCCUGAUGGAGGGGGAUAACUACUGGAAACGGUAGCUAAUACCGCAUAACGUCGCAAGACCAAAGAGGGGGACCUUCGGGCCUCUUGCCAUCAGAUGUGCCCAGAUGGGAUUAGCUAGUAGGUGGGGUAACGGCUCACCUAGGCGACGAUCCCUAGCUGGUCUGAGAGGAUGACCAGCCACACUGGAACUGAGACACGGUCCAGACUCCUACGGGAGGCAGCAGUGGGGAAUAUUGCACAAUGGGCGCAAGCCUGAUGCAGCCAUGCCGCGUGUAUGAAGAAGGCCUUCGGGUUGUAAAGUACUUUCAGCGGGGAGGAAGGUGUUGUGGUUAAUAACCGCAGCAAUUGACGUUACCCGCAGAAGAAGCACCGGCUAACUCCGUGCCAGCAGCCGCGGUAAU